AACGAACGCUGGCGGCAGGCCUAACACAUGCAAGUCGAAGGAGAAGCCAUCUUCGGAUGGUGGAAACUGGCGCACGGGUGAGUAACGCGUGGGUAUCUACCUCGGGGUGGGGAAUAACCGCUGGAAACGGCGGCUAAUACCGCAUACGCCUUAAGAGGGAAAGCUCCGGCGCCCUGAGAGGAGCCCGCGUUGGAUUAGCUUGUUGGUGGGUAACGGCCCACCAAGGCGACGAUCUAUAGCUGGUCUGAGAGGAUGAUCAGCCACACUGGGACUGAGACACGGCCCAGACUCCUACGGGAGGCAGCAGUGGGGAAUAUUGCACAAUGGGCGCAAGCCUGAUGCAGCCAUGCCGCGUGAGUGAAGAAGGCCUUAGGGUUGUAAAACUCUUUCACCGGUGAAGAUAAUGACGGUAGCCGGUAAAGAAGCCCCGGCUAACUCCGUG
Molecule: ribosomal RNA, 442 nt
Filed under: uncultured bacterium
Lineage: Bacteria
Description: bacterial SSU rRNA
Rfam family: Bacterial small subunit ribosomal RNA
Source: RNAcentral